ACCAUCUCCCUGUCAUGGCCAUCUCUUAGGGUUUCCCUCAUCCGCCGCCGCCGCCGUCGGGUGAGUUAGCCCACCAGAUCCGCCACCUGCAGCCCUUCCCGAGCGCACCCAGGAGCGCGUCGUCGUCGCCGGCAUGCUCUCCGACAGAUCUAGCCCCCUCGAGCACGUCCUACUUCUUCCAUGACGACCACGACGUCCCCGACGUCGACUACGUGGAGCCUGCAUCCUCUCCCGCGAUGCCUCCUUCUUCUUCAUCUCCUGCUGCCGAACGUGUUCGCUCGUCGCCGUCGUCGCCUCCGACCUCCCCUCGGCCGUCCAAGAACACUGCCAUGCUUGUGUUCAUGUUUGGUUGCGAUCGUGAGGAUUCGUUCCACUACUCUUGGUUUGUCUACGCCCGUUCGUCUACUUCAUGGACUCGGUCUUCUUCCUAGCGGGAUUUCAGGCAAGAUGACCGUCACCUUGGAUCUCACUAACUAUCUUUGCUUUGCGAGUUGUCCUGAUGCUAUCGCUAUGUCGCGCUACCUACCACUUGUUUAUCAAGCCUCCCAAAUUGCCAUGAACAGUCUCUAACCUUUUUCACCAUCCCAACAAACCAUUGUUUGGCUAUGUUACCGCUUUGCUCAGCACCUCUUAUAGCGUUGCUAGUUGCAGGUGCGGUGCAGGUUGUUCCAUGUAGGGACAUGGAUAUCAUGGAAUAUCACAAUAUCUCUUAUUUAAUUAAUGCACAUAUAUACAUGGUAAUGGGUGGAAGCCUCGGCCUUUUGCCUGGUGAUUUGUUUUACUCAUGCCGCCCUAGUUUCCGUCAUAUCGGUGUUAUGUUCCUUGAUUUUGCGUUCCUAACACGGUUGGUGUUUACGGGGCCCCCUUGAUAGUUCUCUUUGAAUAAAACUCCUCCAGCAAGACCCAACAUUUGUUUUACCAAUUGCCCAACAUAAUAACUAAACAUGAUAAUAAACUUGACGCAUAGGAAGUUAGCACUGCCCGAGGUUUGUUAUAAAACAUAAUACAGGGGGCAGUACUGAUGGUGUUGGUCCCAAACUAGAGUCGUGUGCGGCUUCCCCCGGGGCAACUCAAAUCUCAGGUGUUGUACGCUGUGCUCAUCCGACCGUGGCCUGAGAUGAGAUACACGCCUACUAUCAAGGUGUCGGCGUGUCGGGAGGACUUGCUGGACUUGUUUUACCAUUGUCGAAAUGUCUUGUGAACCGGGAUUCCGAGCUUGAUCGGGUUGUUCUGGGAGGAGGAUUAUCCUCCAUUGAUUGUUAGAGCUUGUCAUGGGCUAAGUUGGGACACCCCUGCAGGGUUUGAUAUUUCGAAACCCGUGCCAGCGGUUAUGUGGUAGAUGGGAGUUUUUAAUAUCCGGUUGUAGUGAACUUGAACUAAACUCAAUUAAAUAACUAACCGCGUGCAUAACCGUGACUGUCUCUUUUCGGGUGAGUUCGAGAAGAGAACACGGUUGGGUUAUGUUUGACCGUAAGUAGUUCCGGAUCACUUCUUCAUCAUUACUAGUUUGCGACUGUUGCGUAGGUUCUCAUCUUAUUCUUGUACUCAUAAGUUAGCCACCAUACAUUGCUUAGUGCUGCUGCAGCCUCACAACUUAUCCUUUGCAUACCCAUUAAGCUUUGCUAGUCUUGAUACCCAUGGUAAUGGGAUUGCUGAGUCCUCGUGGCUCACAGAUUACCGCAACAACAGUUGCAGGUACAUGUAAUGCGAUGAUCCGACGUGAGAGCGAUGCUUGCCUGUUUUCGAGUCCUUCUGCUUCUUCUUCGAUCAGGGGAUAGGUUCCUGGUCGGCAGCCUGGGCUAGCAGGGUGGAUGUCGUUUGAGUUUGUGUUUGUGUUUCAUCCGUAGUCGGAUGUUGUUCUCAUGGAUGAUGUUUGAUAUAUCCUCGUGGCAUUGCUAUGCCCUUUGUAUGUAUCCCCAUCUAUUAUUUAAUGUUACGAUGUAAUGA
Triticum aestivum (bread wheat) is the source of this 1947-nucleotide long non-coding RNA. RefSeq lists it as uncharacterized. The transcript has 2 exons. NCBI's taxonomy places the organism in Eukaryota, Viridiplantae, Streptophyta, Magnoliopsida, Poales, Poaceae. The record is from RefSeq and is a predicted model, not a curated record.